RNAcentral lists this long non-coding RNA (1869 nucleotides) under Lupinus angustifolius (narrow-leaved blue lupine). RNAcentral describes it as "long non-coding RNA (LANG_LNC003714)". The record is from RNAcentral. Lineage: Eukaryota; Viridiplantae; Streptophyta; Magnoliopsida; Fabales; Fabaceae.
CACCCCUAAGAUCCCAACUUCAAUAAUAAUAAUAAUAAAUUAAUAACAAUAAUGACUAAAGCCGACAUUCUCGCUUCCGCUUCGUCCACCACUGCUUGCGCUGGUCCUUCACUCUAAGGCGGAACGCUCCCCUACCGAUAAAUUUUUACAUCCCACAGCUUCGGCAGAUCGCUUAGCCCCGUUCAUCUUCGGCGCAAGAGCGCUCGAAUAAUACCUAGGUUAAAUAACAAUUACACAAUAAGAGGAUUAAAUUCAAAUCUUUAUCAUCAUAAUAUGGCUUAAGACAAUUUAUCGUGAAGUGGGCGAGGUGUAAAACGGGGUGACUCAAAAUCACAACAUGGGGCAAUAGAAUUAAGACAAUUUAUCGUUAACGACAUCACCUAUUGAUGACAACCUUUUAGGGUAGUUGCCUUUUUUAGGAUUGUUUCUUAUUGAACGUCCCAACUUUGAGAAUUGAUUGUGAGCAAGGUUCUUUCUUUGAUUCGGUUUUAAGGGUAUUUAUGUUUAGGGUUCGGAAUAGUCACAGUUUGGUGUGUGUAAUUGGUGUUAGGUGUUUAAGGUUUUGGUAUGGUCACAGUUUGGUGUGUGUAAUUGGUGUUAGGUGUUUAGGGUUUUGGUAUGGUCACGAAUUGGGGGUGUAAUGAAUGUUAGGAUCACGAUUUGGUAUGUUAGGGGGUGAUUUAGUGAAGUUGAUGCAGGUAAGUUUUUAAGAACAUGGAUGGGGGAUAUGAGGGGGAAUGGUGCCACAAACACUAGGUGUUUGAUAAGCUGGUGAAGUUCGCCACAAGAAAUUGCUUUUCUUGAUAAGAACGGGUCUUGGCUAAACCAAGAAGCUAGGAAAACACUCACUAACAGAGAAUUAAAUCCAACAAAAUUUAAUUUAGUUUUAUUCAAUGAUGAUCACAAUUAUAUAUAGGGAACUAACAUGGAACAAUUCGGCCUUGACUUGUAGUUUGAAUGAAGUUUUUUAUAUGUUGGUCGAAUUCCUUGAGGUGCAAUAAGCCAUGUGUUUGAUUCAAAUUGUGAAUGACAUUGUUAGCCUUCUUAUCUUGUUUAUCCGAGUUGGUUGUGGAGCAAUUUGCCCUAGAUCUGGUCAUAGAAUCCACAUGCCACUUUAGUUGGAAGGCCCUUGAUUUAUGGUGGUUAAAUUUGGUGAAGAAUUCUUUUGAUCUCCACAAAAUCCUUUGGCCGAAUUUGAUGUGUGGAAUUUGUAUUCUACAUUAUCUUCAAGCCUUUGAUUUAGGUUAGUCAAAUUUGAGUAGUAGGAGAUUUGAUAUUUACUUGAUCUCCUUAUUAUCUUCAAGCCUCCAAUGCCUCCUUGAGUUUGAACCGUGCCAUCCUCAAGAUUUGACCAUGCCAACUUGAAUUUGAAUUCAAAUGCUCCUUCUAGCCGUGCCACAUGUGGUCUUGGCCUUGUCCAAAUGUUUUCAUACAAUUAACCAAAAACAACACACAAUUUAUUUGCUAAAAAAAAAUUAAUCAAUCAUAAAAGAAAUGACAUAAUUAAGAACUAAAAUCCAAUUAAAAUCCUAACUACUUAAGGAUUAAGACACUUCCCCCUUAUUUGGUUGUCCAAAGAAAAACUUGUUAUGAUGGCUCUUUCACCAAGCCAUGGCCUUCCCUUGGCUCCCCAUCUUGGAUGAUACAAUUAAUGGGCUUGGCCCCCUCCUUGACCCAAUUAGGACUUGAAUCCAUGAUGGCAUACAUGAGUUGCCUAAACACCUCUUGUGCCUUUUUGUCUUGGCCCUAGUCAUGGGUCUUCCCAUGCCACGAAAGGCCUCUUGGUUGAUGUUGGGCUCAACCAGGUUUACAUCACCUAUUGUGGAGCCUUGUUAGCAUAAUAGUUCACACUAUUAACAUCACCAUUUC